UACGUAGGGUGCGAGCGUUGUCCGGAAUUAUUGGGCGUAAAGCGUGCGCAGGCGGCUAUUUAAGCUUGCUGUGAAAGCCCCGGGCUUAACCUGGGAAUGGCAGUGAGGACUGGAUGGCUGGAGUGUGGCAGAGGGGGGUGGAAUUCCACGUGUAGCGGUGAAAUGCGUAGAGAUGUGGAGGAACACCGAUGGCGAAGGCAGCCCCCUGGGCUAACACUGACGCUCAGGCACGAAAGCGUGGGGAGCAAACGGG
This 253-nucleotide ribosomal RNA is filed under the name uncultured bacterium. Its description in RNAcentral is "partial 16S ribosomal RNA". It matches the Rfam family "Bacterial small subunit ribosomal RNA", at positions 524 to 776 of the family's 1533-position model. The record is from RNAcentral.